This is a non-coding RNA of Zootermopsis nevadensis, 1041 nucleotides long. Lineage: Eukaryota; Metazoa; Arthropoda; Insecta; Blattodea; Termopsidae. The record is from RefSeq and is a predicted model, not a curated record.
UUAAAGAUAUCUCGUGGUUUACAGGAUCAACGCCUUUUUGGAAGGCUUCUAUGACAUCAUCCCAAAGCGGCUCAUAUCGAUCUUCAAUGAGCAGGAGUUGGAAUUGUUGAUCUCAGGGUUGCCCAAUGUGGAUAUUGAAGAUUUGAAGGCUAACACAGAGUACCACAAAUAUCAACCCACAUCCCUAGAGAUUCAGUGGUUCUGGCGAGCGCUGCGCUCGUUUGACCAGGCUGCCCGUGCCAAGUUCCUGCAGUUCGUGACUGGAACUUCUAAAGUGCCACUCCAAGGUUUUGCAGCCCUGGAGGGCAUGAAUGGGGUUCAAAAAUUUCAAAUCCACCGUGAUGAUCGUUCAACAGAUCGUUUGCCUUCUGCGCACACAUGUUUCAAUCAACUAGAUCUUCCUGUGUAUGAGACGUACGACAAGUUGCGCACUUACCUCCUCAAGGCCAUCCAUGAGUGCUCUGAAGGAUUUGGAUUUGCCUGAAGAAAAAGACAACUUUGAAUUAAUUUGGAGACUGAGUAACUGUAGUGGAUUGAGUCACGAAGCUUGUUUAAUUCUUACAUAUUGUUCUAGAUAGGAUAUUUAUAUAUUUCAUGUAAGUACCAAUAGCCUAGUUCUGUUUUGCAGGUUUGCAUGUUCUUUUAACUUUUCAUUUCUCCUCCCCGUUGUUGUAAUAUACUGAUUUAUGGUCCAAUCCAUGGAGAAGAAAUGAUCUACAUCCAGCAGAACAUGUUGAAUUUAAUAAAGUAUAAUUCAACGUUUAAAAUGUUUAAGAAUCGGCUUUAAUAUUUGAAAUAUAAUAUACUGUAAUGCUACAUCAAAGUUAUUGAGCAGAAUGUAAUAUUCAUAAUUGAAAUAAAAAUUACAGAAACAAUCAGAAUUUUAUUAACAUAAUGAAUAAUGCUUGUGCUUUCACAGUGUAAAAUGCAUCUUUUCUAAAUGAUGAUGAUGAUGAUGAUAAUGGUGAGUCAUCUGUAAAAAGUAGUAUUUUGGACUUUGUCCAUGAUCUGUAUUUCAAUAAAUGUUCAAGGUGCAAAGAA